UCUCUCCGGCCUCCAGGCCAGCUUGGGUCAGAUGCAGCUGCUCCUCUGGCUGGAAGUGAAGGACAAGGCUUCCCCGUUUGGUGGAGGAAGUUAACAGUCUGUCAGGGGAACCAGGGCUUCUCUGGUUGAGUCCCGGGGAAGACCUGGGAUCCCUGAUGAAGUCAGAAGUCCUCCCACCCAUGGCAUCUGGUUCACCCCACAGAAAAGAGGUACAAGGGGAGUCUACAGGUGCCAGUUCAGAGCGCUCAUAAGUGCUCAGGCAGGUGGUAACACCAGAUCUCCUGGAACUGGCUAUGUUCCCCUCAUCUGACCUCAAGAGCUGGAGAGGCAAUACUGACUGAUGCAUUUCCUUUCCUUUUUUCCCCUAUCCCUCCCAGUCUGCGGUCUCUUCAAAGGAUAUUCAAAGAAAAGAGAGGUUGAUGCAUCUGCCCAAUUGGGAAGUGGUUUUGAAUAAACGCUGAUGUUCUGACACACA
This is a long non-coding RNA of Chinchilla lanigera (long-tailed chinchilla), 475 nucleotides long. RefSeq lists it as uncharacterized. The transcript is spliced from 2 exons. The record is from RefSeq and is a predicted model, not a curated record. NCBI's taxonomy places the organism in Eukaryota, Metazoa, Chordata, Mammalia, Rodentia, Chinchillidae.